This is a non-coding RNA of Pelecanus crispus (Dalmatian pelican), 74 nucleotides long. The record is from Rfam. Lineage: Eukaryota; Metazoa; Chordata; Aves; Pelecaniformes; Pelecanidae.
GCCAGGUUAGCUCAGUUGGUUAGAACAUGGUGCUAAUAACACCAAGUUCACAGGUUCAAUCCCUGCUUACUGCA